CCUACGGGGGGCAGCAGUGGGGAAUAUUGCACAAUGGGGGAAACCCUGAUGCAGCAACGCAGCGUGCGUGAAGACGUAUUUCGGUAUGUUAAGCUCUAUCUGCAGGGAAGAAGAUGACGGUACCUGAGUAAGAAGCCCUGGCUAACUACGUGCCAGCAGCCGCGGUAAUACGUAGGGGGCGAGCGUUAUCCGGAUUUACUGGGUGUAAAGGGCGCGUAGACGGUGAGAUAAGUCUGAAGUGAAAGCCCGGGGCUCAACCCCGGGACUGCUGUGGAAACUGCCGGACUGGAGUGCUGGAAAGGCAAGCGGAAUGCCUAGUGUAGCGGUGAAAUGCGUAGAUAUUAGGAAGAACACCAGUUGCGAAGGCAGCUUGCUGGACAGUAACUGACGUUGAGGCUCGAAAGCGUGGGUAGCAAACAGGAUUAGAUACCCUAGUAGUC
RNAcentral lists this ribosomal RNA (440 nucleotides) under uncultured bacterium. Its description in RNAcentral is "partial 16S ribosomal RNA". It matches the Rfam family "Bacterial small subunit ribosomal RNA", at positions 338 to 795 of the family's 1533-position model. The record is from RNAcentral.